CAGAGUGGCAUUUAGCAAAGCUUUCUCUAUUGCUCCAAGAAGCAGAGAAUGACCAACUGUGCCAAACGCUGCUUUUAGAGAAAAUAAGGUCCAAGAAUUGACCGAAUAAUUCUUUAAACAUAACUCAACAUUAUGGCAAUUAUCCAAGAUUUCAUGCCAGACACCGACCAAGAGAAAGGUUGACUCUUGAAAAAAGGUAUUUUCAACGUCUCUGCAGGUCAUCAGGACGACGCCGUGGAAGAGUUCGUGAACGUUUCAGGAGAGACUCGGAGGAGUACCGAGCUUGACCGGCGGACACCGCACCGAGCCGCUCCACUGGGCCGGGGGAGGCAGGGC
Fukomys damarensis (Damara mole-rat) is the source of this 336-nucleotide long non-coding RNA. RefSeq lists it as uncharacterized. The transcript is spliced from 3 exons. Lineage: Eukaryota; Metazoa; Chordata; Mammalia; Rodentia; Bathyergidae. The record is from RefSeq and is a predicted model, not a curated record.